AUGAGGGAGAACCUGGCUCUCACACUCUCCCCCUCUGUUCCCCGGGGAGGCCAGGGCAGGGGCUCACAGGAAACUGGGGGUGGGAGCCAAGCGCUGAGGCAGUUCUGCCUGAAACCUUCCCCCCAGAAGCCUUCUUUCAGUCCCACUUUCCCCAUGGAACUCUCUCAGGAAAGAAGGUGGGUGGCAAGAGGACUGCAAAGGCUCUGGAAGGAAGGAAUGCACCUUGAAAAUCCAGCAAUCAAAUGGAAACCCAGCCCCACUGCUCCACGCUCCCCGGCCUCAAUUACCAGCCAGCUACAGAACGUGGGGGAUGGGACGGGGAGGGGGGGGGAGACCAGAACAAUCGCCCCCCGCCCCAGUCAUGUUGGGCCGGCCCUGCCCCACCCCCAUUCCUGGGGAGGGGGGCAGGGUCGGGAGAGAGCCUCCGGGGCAGGCCUCUGGCGAGGGGGUGUGGUGGUCCCCGGAGGCAGGAAGAGAAGGAAGAAGCUGCUUCCCCUUUGGCCCACCCCCCACCCCGGCCCCCACCUCAGGCCCCAGGGGCCUAGCAAACAGGAUGGAGGUGGGGGCAGGGAGGACGGGGUCAGAGCACAGGCACUGGGCCAGGUUCGGCCAGGCCGGCUGGGGGGGGGGAGGCUUUGCUCUGAGAAGGACCCCCGUAAGCCUGGGGGAAGCCCCGGGCCGGGAGGCAGGAGAACCCCCAGAGUGAGAUGCCAUGAAUACUUCCUCCUGGAAAGUUUGUUUGGGGUGAUUUUUCCGCCAAGAAGAGGUUACAGAGGAAGGGUAGUCCUGUUCGCUUAUCCACACGCUGGAAGCCCAGGCUACUGGCAACUGGGCGGGGGAAAUCUCCACUCGUACACGACCCCUCCGCCCAGAACCCCAGUGCGAGCCACGGGUGCCAGACACCGGCUGGGCGCGGAGCGGGGCCCUACACCAGUCCCAUUGCCACCCAACCCCGCCUCCGCUGGCGGAGCCGUCGCCUGGCACCCAUGGGAGCGGAGCUUUGGGAGGUCUCGCAGAUUGAAGGUUACUUCCUCCUGAUUGGGCAAGGAACUGUCAGUAAGACUAAGGAAAGAACCAAUGGAAGAGAUGGGGUGUGUCUUGCCCCACCCUCCCUCGGAGCAGGUAAGACUGAUUACUGUCCCCUUCCCCCUACCUGUCCAACAGGUGAGUCAGGGGGUGCCAUGGGAAAGGACAGACGCCUUCACUGGCUAGCUAGCCAACUCAGCGUCAGGGGAUGAUGCUUCUUUAUGCUUAUUCACCCUUGCCACAAAGUGGUAAUAACAUAUUACUAAAACAUUUCAUAGGCUUUUUUCUGGGUUGGAAUUUUUUUCUCCAAAGAUGGAGUGCUCAUGAAAUUUAGAAUUAAAAGGCCUGGAUUUGGGUUCUAUUACUUAGAAGCUAUAUGAUCUUAGGCAAGUCAUCUUUCACUCUGUUUCUCCACAUCUGUAAAAUGGGUACAUUAGCUAUAUCUCUCAUGGGAGUGAAGGAAGUUUUGUAAAAUCACUUGAACAACUGCUAAGUCUUAGAAUUUUAAAUUAAUGAUAUGUGUGUGUAUGUUUUAAUUCUCAUGACAGUUCUGAAAAAAAUUGUUAGGGCAAAAAAAUGAUCCUCCUUUCAAAGAUGAGGAAACAGCUUCAGAGAGAUCACCAAACUAGAAAGUGACAAAUCCUAAACUAGAACCCCUUUCUCUUCUAAUUCCAAAGCCCAUCAAACCACAUUCUUCCAGUGGGAUAACAGCAUAACCAUAAAAUGCCAAAGCAGCGAGAGGGGCUGGGAAAAAGCAAAAACAAAUUCGCUGGUGAGAGACAAAAGAGCAGUGAUUUGUGACAAAGAGAAAGUCUCAGUAUUUAAAUCAACUAUACUUCAAUAAAAUUAAAACAAAUUUUUUAAGUUUAAAACA
This 1900-nucleotide long non-coding RNA is filed under the name Sus scrofa (pig). Its description in RNAcentral is "lncRNA (ENSSSCG00050069250.1)". The record is from RNAcentral. Lineage: Eukaryota; Metazoa; Chordata; Mammalia; Artiodactyla; Suidae.